AGUGAACGCUGGCGGUAGGCCUAACACAUGCAAGUCGAACGGCAGCACAGUAAGAGCUUGCUCUUACGGGUGGCGAGUGGCGGACGGGUGAGGAAUACAUCGGAAUCUACUUUUUCGUGGGGGAUAACGUAGGGAAACUUACGCUAAUACCGCAUACGACCUACGGGUGAAAGCAGGGGAUCUUCGGACCUUGCGCGAUUGAAUGAGCCGAUGUCGGAUUAGCUAGUUGGCGGGGUAAAGGCCCACCAAGGCGACGAUCCGUAGCUGGUCUGAGAGGAUGAUCAGCCACACUGGAACUGAGACACGGUCCAGACUCCUACGGGAGGCAGCAGUGGGGAAUACUGGACAAUGGGCGCAAGCCUGAUCCAGCCAUACCGCGUGGGUGAAGAAGGCCUUCGGGUUGUAAAGCCCUUUUGUUGGGAAAGAAAAGCAGCAGGUUAAUACCCCGCUGCUCUGACGGUACCCAAAGAAUAAGCACCGGCUAACUUCGUG
RNAcentral lists this ribosomal RNA (492 nucleotides) under uncultured bacterium. RNAcentral's name for it is "partial 16S ribosomal RNA". It matches the Rfam family "Bacterial small subunit ribosomal RNA", at positions 29 to 507 of the family's 1533-position model. The record is from RNAcentral.